RNAcentral lists this long non-coding RNA (374 nucleotides) under Physcomitrium patens. RNAcentral's name for it is "long non-coding RNA (PPAT_LNC001081)". Lineage: Eukaryota; Viridiplantae; Streptophyta; Bryopsida; Funariales; Funariaceae. The record is from RNAcentral.
UUGGAAAAAUUUGAAUAAUUGGAUCAAGAGAUAUGAAUUUCUAAAGUUUAAAAAGAAGAAAUUAUUUGGAGAAAUAUUAUAUUUUUAAAAAGAUUUUAUUAUAACUUGAGCCUUUUAUAUAAAGCAAAGGAGUAUUUUAUAAACCAAGAAUUUAUAUAUAUAUUGAAGAUAGAUAUAUGGAGCUAUGGUUGAAUUUUUAUAUAAAGAUGAGCUUUUGAGAGGAGAUUGUUGAUUUCUUUUGAAGUUAUUGAAAACCUAAUCUAUCAGCAAAUGGUUAGCUAUGAUUUAGUAUAGCCAAGAAUGUUAGAAAAUUUCUAGAUAUUUUAGAAAGCCUUAUGUACAAACCUUCUUAAAUAUAAAAGGAUUUAUUAGUA